GACGUAGGGCGCGAGCGUUGUCCGGAUUUAUUGGGCGUAAAGAGCUCGUAGGCGGUUUGUUGCGUCGGCUGUGAAAUCCCGAGGCUCAACCUCGGGUCUGCAGUCGAUACGAGCAAACUAGAGUGUUGCAGGGGAGACUGGAGUUCCUGGUGUAGCGGUGAAAUGCGCAGAUAUCAGGAGGAACACCGGUGGCGAAGGCGGGUCUCUGGGCAACAACUGACGCUGAGGAGCGAAAGCGUGGGGAGCGAACAGG
Molecule: ribosomal RNA, 253 nt
Filed under: uncultured bacterium
Lineage: Bacteria
Description: partial 16S ribosomal RNA
Rfam family: Bacterial small subunit ribosomal RNA
Source: RNAcentral